GAUGAACGCUGGCGGCGUGCUUAACACAUGCAAGUCGAACGGUGAAGGCGGAGCUUGCUCUGCUGGAUCAGUGGCGAACGGGUGAGUAACACGUGAGCAAUCUGCCCCUGACUCUGGGAUAAGCGCUGGAAACGGCGUCUAAUACUGGAUACGAGCUGCGAAGGCAUCUUCAGCAGCUGGAAAGAAUUUCGGUCAGGGAUGAUCUCGCGGCCUACCAGCUUGUUGGGGAGGUAAUGGCUCACCAAGGCGUCGACGGGUAGCCGGCCUGAGAGGGUGACCGGCCACACUGGGACUGAGACACGGCCCAGACUCCAACGGGAGGCAGCAGUGGAGAAUAUUGCACAAUGGGCGAGAGCCUGAUGCAGCAACGCCGCGUGAGGGACGACGGCCUUCGGGUUGUAAACCUCUUUUAGCAGGGAAGAAGCGAAAGUGACGGUACCUGCAGAAAAAGCGCCGGCUAACUACGUG
This 468-nucleotide ribosomal RNA is filed under the name uncultured bacterium. Its description in RNAcentral is "partial 16S ribosomal RNA". It matches the Rfam family "Bacterial small subunit ribosomal RNA", at positions 28 to 507 of the family's 1533-position model. The record is from RNAcentral.